ACCUGGCCCCCAUUGGGACUUAACUUUGAAAAGGAAAAGAAGAGCAAAAGAUGAUGAUGUCGUAAGCCUUAGCAGCCUUGAUCUGAAGGAGGGCGAGUGCUGGGGGUUUUGUUUGGGGUCUCUUUGCGCUUCGCAUUUUUUAAAUGUAAAACUGAAUAAUAUUGGCUCUUGCAGAUAGUUCGCCUUCUUUGUUAAGAAUGAGCAGAAAAUCUCCCGCAAAACAAUGUUGGCCGAUAGUGGUGUCUCAGACUCCCCUGCCUGCAGAGACCAGGCCUGUGGUUUGUGCACAGAAGGGAGAGGGACGGAGGGCACCGCACCGCUGCUGCUGUGCUCCAGCCCACUGCUGGAGGCGGGAUUGUCCACAUCUGGGCUCUGUGUGAAAUCUCCUAAAUUUUAAAUGUGGGAUUUUUUUUCUAAAAAAUCAUGAAGACCAAACAACUUGUCUAGAGGCCAGAUGUGGCCCAGGGGUUUCUGGAGUGUGACACAUGAUAAACUAAAGCUCAAUGCACACGUCAAAACAAUUAUGUAUAUUCUUCUGUAAAGUUGUAGUUAAGUCCAAAAAUCUGGUAUCUUUGGAAUUAUUUAUUUCAUUUUUUGUCAGUUGGCAAGUUUUACAGAACCAUGUUAGUUUUAAGAAAUCUUUUUAAAAAGAUUGUUACGAAAAGUUAUACAUUUUAAGUGAGAUUUUUAAAAAAAGUUUGACAUCACAUUUAAUGAUGACAGCCUCUGCUUAUUUUUAACAAUAAGCUAUCUUCUAAAAAUUAAAUUUUUAUAGGUCUGCUCAUCAAAAGUUGAGCAAAUCUGGCAAGCCAGAUUUUUUGGAGGGUGUGUACAUAAUGUCUUUAUAGAAGAAUUUAGGCUUUUUGCAAAACAACUUUAGUUGCAUUUUCUUAAAUCUUGUUUUCAAAGAAAGAAAAAGGUGUUGUAGUUAAAUUGAGCCUCUAUCGUUCCUCUUUAUUAACUGGACUACUUCUGUAAAGAGAAACUUCCCUUCGUCAACCAUCUGGUUAUGCCAAGGUACUGAUUUAUAAUAAAGGCAGGCCAAGUACUUGAUUCCUUCCUUUUACUAGUUUUCAAAAAUUAUGGAUUUUCUUCAUUUGAAUUCUCUAAAAGUAAGUAAUGAUUUUUUUCUCUUUUGAUAUGUUACGAACUCAUGGAUGUGGACACAUUUGAUAUGCCUCGAUCCACUUUAAUUAUUAGUUUUACUGUGCUCGCAUUAUCCCGUCUUUGACCAUGGUUGCUGCCUCAAGGUGGCACCUUUGUCCUUUGCUCCCCAAGCUUUAAGAUGUAGCUGACAUAGGACAUCGUGUAAAUUUAAGUGUGCAGCGUGUUGAUUUCCUGUGUCCUUUUGUCACGGCUCUUGCCUCAGAUCUAGAAGCUGAAUAAAUAGCCUCCUUUUCUUCCUGGAUGACAAGUUAUUCCAGGCCUACCUACUUUUUUUUUUCUCUCUGCUCCACACCUGGAAUCAGUCAUUUCCAAAAGCCCUAGUUUUAGAGGCUAAAAUCGGGGCACGAGGAGCACUUGUUGCUACUAAUCGAUCAUUGUUUCUAGGCCUUUUAAUGGGCAGAGCUAGAAAACAUAUAUGCUUUUGAGAUAAACUAACUCAUGAGUUUAUAUUGCGAUUUUUAAAGUCAGUGCUAAAGGGUCUUUUUCUUAAUCUCCUUAAUCUUAACAAUCUAGAUCUUUUUCAACUAUACCAACAAUCUGGGUUCUAUGAGACAAAAUUACUCUCGAUUUACUCAUGAGUUAGUUCUUUGCUAUGUGUAAUUAUGCCAAUGCACUUUUUUAUUUGCAAGAUUUAAGAAUUACUCCUUUUUAAAUUUUUCUUAGAAUUGUGUAACAAAAUUGUAUAUAGUUUUAAAGUCAGCUCUACAAGAUUCUUGUUUCUAUCCCUGGCUCCUCUCCUCUACUUCUUUCUUCUGUACAAAAUGUUUUUGGUUUCUUUCACCAAUUUUAUGGUUUAUUCUUCCACUUUUUAAAGUCAUAAGCAGUUGCAUGUAUGUUUAUGUAUCCCACUUUUUUGAUAAACAGUAGCAUACUGUCUUUCAUUACAUGUUCUAUUUUUACACUCUUUUUGGUUUUGCUUGUAUGUUUUGCUAUAUCUUUCAGUAUUUGGAAGAUUCAUGGUUUUGUUCUGUCGGUUGUCUUUAUGGGAUGCCUUCAGUCCCCUCUCUUUGGCUGCGGUAAAUUUGUUCAUUCCCGUGAGCGUUAUUUUAAUCAACCAGCACCUCUUCUCCUUCCUCUCUUCUCCUUGUUUUCUGAGGUCUUUCUUUCUGCUCCCCGUCUCUUUUAUCUGGACUUCUUCUUGUCUUUGCUUCUGUUGCCCUGUUCUGCUCAAUUUGGACCCUACUCCUAGCGGUUUUUCUCAGUGCAGUGUUCUUUUCAAGAGUUUCUAUGGCCAAGGGCGACUGUUGCAGCACCAGUAAACCUUGUUACCUGGCAGUGUCCUUGCCCUUGGCCUAAGGCUUUGGUCCUCGGAGUCCUUCCCAGUUUAGAGCGCUGUUCUCAGACUAGGGUGCCAUGGUAGGGGUUCCCUACUCUUGGGACCAUCAGAGAAGCCCUGCUGCCCUCCCUCUCCUUCUCUGUCAGAUACUGAAACCCUGUGAGUCUCGUAGCUGUUCCGUGUGCCUCCAUUAGAGCAACAGAAGGUUUGGGGGAAACACGUUCUCUUUUUUGGUGUAUAUUUUAGGUUUUCUGUGUUCUUUGUUACUUGCUACAUCUCUUUUUUUUUUCCUUUAAAGAGGGAACGCCUGUCAAAGAUUAACACAUGGAUGAGUGACCUAACAGAAUGGUAAAGCUGGUGCGAGGCGGUGCGAGGACUAUAGGAAACACUGAAGCAUUCUAAUCCCAGAGAGAGGUGGAAUAAGAUUGCUACAUUUUAUACGAGACAGAUCAAUGUCCCCAUCUGCAUCUCUGCCUACAGAAUGUAUUUGCAUUGCUACAGAAUUAACAUCUACCUUGACAGAGUUGGU
Molecule: long non-coding RNA, 2972 nt
Filed under: Sus scrofa (pig)
Lineage: Eukaryota; Metazoa; Chordata; Mammalia; Artiodactyla; Suidae
Description: lncRNA (ENSSSCG00015042857.1)
Source: RNAcentral